CUACGGGUGGCUGCAGUGGGGAAUAUUGGACAAUGGGCGAAAGCCUGAUCCAGCCAUGCCGCGUGUGUGAAGAAGGCCUUCGGGUUGUAAAGCACUUUCAGUGGGGAAGAAAGCCUUGGGGCUAAUACCCUCGAGGAAGGACAUCACCCACAGAAGAAGCACCGGCUAACUCCGUGCCAGCAGCCGCGGUAAUACGGAGGGGGCGAGCGUUAAUCGGAAUUACUGGGCGUAAAGCGCGCGUAGGCGGUCUGAUAAGCCGGUUGUGAAAGCCCCGGGCUCAACCUGGGAACGGCAUCCGGAACUGUCAGGCUAGAGUGCAGGAGAGGAAGGUAGAAUUCCCGGUGUAGCGGUGAAAUGCGUAGAGAUCGGGAGGAAUACCAGUGGCGAAGGCGGCCUUCUGGACUGACACUGACGCUGAGGUGCGAAAGCGUGGGUAGCAAACAGGAUUAGAUACCCUGGUAGUC
This 464-nucleotide ribosomal RNA is filed under the name Vreelandella stevensii. RNAcentral describes it as "partial 16S ribosomal RNA". It matches the Rfam family "Bacterial small subunit ribosomal RNA", at positions 339 to 795 of the family's 1533-position model. The record is from RNAcentral. Lineage: Bacteria; Pseudomonadati; Pseudomonadota; Gammaproteobacteria; Oceanospirillales; Halomonadaceae.